Pieris rapae (cabbage white) is the source of this 339-nucleotide long non-coding RNA. RefSeq lists it as uncharacterized. Lineage: Eukaryota; Metazoa; Arthropoda; Insecta; Lepidoptera; Pieridae. The transcript has 3 exons. The record is from RefSeq and is a predicted model, not a curated record.
UUUGUAAUAAUAGUUUGAAGGAUAAUGUGGACGUAUAAAUACGAGCAUCUUGAACUAUUUUAACUCCUUUUCAUCACUUCAUUUUAAAAUGAAGAUAUCGUUUGUAUUUUGCAUAGUAUUGCUACUGGUGUGGCCGAAAGUGACGAGUGGAACAUGUAGGGAAUUCUGUAUGAAGUUUAACAAGGAAUUGAUAUGUGGUAAAAAGGGAAAUACCUAUUACAAUUAUUGCGAAAUGAGAGAAUGUUACAAUGGCGAGUUUCGUUAUAAAGGACAAUGCAACGGAUAAAUUAUAUCGACUUUGAGAGCAGGUUAAAACUGCGUUUUAAUUAAAUAUUUUCC